GGAGAGGUGGCAGAGCGGCCGAAUGCACCGGUCUUGAAAACCGGAGUGCCCUCACGGGUACCGCGAGUUCGAAUCUCGCCCUCUCCG
This 87-nucleotide transfer RNA is filed under the name Planctomycetaceae bacterium. RNAcentral's name for it is "tRNA-Ser". It matches the Rfam family "tRNA". From Rfam's summary of the family: Transfer RNA (tRNA) molecules are approximately 80 nucleotides in length. Their secondary structure includes four short double-helical elements and three loops (D, anti-codon, and T loops). Lineage: Bacteria; Pseudomonadati; Planctomycetota; Planctomycetia; Planctomycetales; Planctomycetaceae. The record is from RNAcentral.